Molecule: long non-coding RNA, 523 nt
Organism: Prionailurus viverrinus (fishing cat)
Lineage: Eukaryota; Metazoa; Chordata; Mammalia; Carnivora; Felidae
Exons: 5
Source: RefSeq, a predicted model, not a curated record
AAACCUCUCAGAGACCUGAGGUGGGACCCAGAUCCCGGCGCCCAGAGCAAGUCAAGUCCGGCCGGCCGGAGCUGUGUCACGAAAUGAGCCCUGAAAGCCAUAUGUUGAAGAAGCACAAGAUGGAAGGAGGCUGAGUUUCUGGGUCACUGUCAGACUAGAAAGGUUUAUGUGUACUCUUGGAUAAAUAUUGAGCCAUUGCCAUGUAUAAACCACCAUGCUGGGCCCUCUAGGCAAUGCAAAAAGAAUAUGACAGACUGUCUCACAGUGUCUGCCCUCCAGUAUCUUAAAUUUUUGAGAGUGUGCAAGAUAUAACCUUGUAUCUUGGAUGGUUCAGCAAUGGAGUGGAUAUCUUUGAGAUGAACUUCUCGUAACAGGAAAUGUUCAUUCAGAUGCCAGAAGGACAUCAGCCAAAGACACUUAAAUGGAUGCUUUUUAGUGUAGGAGCCUGAACUAGCCUUUUUAGGAUCCUGGAACCUGUGUGUGAUGAGGACAGAGGACUGGGUAAAUGGAAGGAACUUGGAAU